Molecule: long non-coding RNA, 4125 nt
Filed under: Gossypium barbadense (sea-island cotton)
Lineage: Eukaryota; Viridiplantae; Streptophyta; Magnoliopsida; Malvales; Malvaceae
Description: long non-coding RNA (GBAR_LNC010077)
Source: RNAcentral
CAUUCUUGUGUUCUUAUAAGAAUUCAAUGUGGCUGCCUUCUCUUGGGAUCGAUCCAACACUCGCCAUGGGUUUACCAGCAAAGUGCAGUCUCGAUAUGCCUUCUGAUUGUUGAUUAAGGUAAAUUAACCUUGUCUCUCUCCCCUUUCUUUUUAACUAACAUCGCAUGUAUAUAAUUAAUUCAAAAGAAACAUUAAAGCGUGUUUGGUUCGCUGUAAUAGGUAUACCAUUACUCCCCGAUUACGCGCCUAUUACAUUAUCGACCUAUUCUGGCGUUUGGUUCGCUGUUUUCUCAUUCCGCGCCGAAUCAGUUACUCUCCCAUUACAUUGACUGCGGGUAAUAGGCAUUACGCUCCCUCAGCGCCGAUUACCCAUUCCGCGUCUUUUCCUUUUUUCUCUUCCGUUUUCUGCCCUCGUCCUCAACGCUCCGAUUCUCCCACGCUUCCUUGCACAGGUAAUUUCUUUUCCCUCAUCCUCUUCCGACUUUUCUCAAUUUUUUCCUUUCCAGAUUUCUAUUUCUUCUUCUGGUACGGUACGCUUCUUUUCUUCUCACAUUUCUUUUCUUUUCUCCAUUUUCUUUUCUCCAUAUUUUUGCUUCUUCUUCCAAAUUUUUCCCUGUUUUUCUUUUCUUUUCUUUUCUGUAGAAUCGAUUUUGAUUUUGAUUUUAUUUAUCUUUGUCGAAUUUCGAAACACUUCUAAUCGGGAAUAUCAUAUAAGUUGGAUGCUUUUCAUUCGUGUCUAGACACUCAUCGUCUUCUCUGAGAAUCGAUUUCAUUUGUCAGGUAAAAUUCCCAUAUUUUGCCUAUUAUUUUUUCCCCUUUAUUUGCAUUCUUGCCUGUUGAUUUCUCUGUUCUAUUUUUCUUUCUUUAUAAUUUUUUUCUAAUUCGAGUCUCUUUUUACUAGAUCUAUGUUUUUUCUGCUGUUAUUUAUAAUCUCUUUGCAUGCAAACUAUUGUUUGGGGGGUGAUUUUGGGUUCAAGUUAUUGGGUUUGAAAAUGUUGUUGUUUUCUUUUUUCUUGGUCAAUUUUAGAAGACCAUUUAUAUGUAUGCUGUUCAAAUUUUCUGUUUUGAUUUGAUUUUUUUUCCUGUGAUAGAAUCUUUGAAAUAUUGUUUUCUUUUUCCUCAUUAUAUGUUACAUUAAGGAUAGUUGAUUAGAAGCGGGAUUUUUGUUUGUUGUAGAAUAUAAAUUUGUAGGUCGAAGUUGUAAUUAGUAGGUUACAUUGUGAAUUUGUGUAGUUGAAAUGCUAAGUUGUAGGAGGUGUUGAGUAUUUGUGUAGUUGAAAUGCUAAGUUGUAGGAGGUGUUGAGUAUUUGUAGUAGGUCGAAGUUGUAAUUAGUAGGUUACAUUGUAAUUAGUAGGUUACAUUGUGAAUUUGUGUAGUUGAAAUGCUAAGUUGCGAGGAGUUUAGCAACUUAAAAAGCUAAUUGUAAGCUAUUGUGAUUGGGGAGGUAGUAGUAGGGGCAUCAGGUAUGAUUUUAAUCCUUCUGUUUUUUUCCACUUGUUAACUUUUAUAUAAACCUCUUGAGUAUUAUCUUCUAAACUUUCUGGCUUAUAUUUUUUUUGGUAUAUUUGCUUGACACCUCUGGAGUAAAGUACUUUUUCGAAAUCUCAAUGUUUGUUUCAUUUCUCCUUUCAAUUCCAACAUUGCAAUGUGUUUUUCUCGUCUUUGUUUGCCUAAUAAAGCAGGUACUUUUUUGUUAAAUGUUUUCUUGAUCUGUUGGCCAAGAGUUUGUGCUAAGAUUUGCAUUUCAACUUUAGGUAUUAUUCUUGUUUAUGCUGUGGAGACUCGUAUCUAUAUAUAAACUAAACUAUUGAACCACUUCUGAGUAAUUUGCAAAUAAUGAAUGAACCAGCUUCUCAAGCUAGUAUUAAGCUGUGUCACUUUCAUCUGCGCAUAAUGUGAUGGUUUGAUAGUUGAAAUUAUGGAUGAUCUGAAUCUAGCUAUAGGUGAUUAAAUAUAUGAUCACCAAAGUAGUGGCAUCCAUCUAAAGUAGUUUUCUACCUUCCUGGGCUAAGUUCAGUUAAGUCUAUAUCAUCAUCCUCCCCUUGGCAUAUUGCAUUCAUUUUAGCUAUAGAGUUAUUUGCACAAUUGGUGAUUAUCGUUUGACAUUUCUCAAUCUUCUAUACUGGCCUAGUAGUCAUUCUUCUCUCCUAACCUUUCUCAUAUGUGAUCAACUGUACUGUUUUAUUGCAAGCGCAGUCUCCUAACUACAAUGCUACCCUGAAACAAAUUUUCCCCAAUAUUCAGCAAAUCGAUUCUGAGGUAUUGGCUUAGAAAUUUUGGUAGGUUCUGGACUUUUGUAGUUGAAUGUUCAUAAAUUUGCAAUCACGCGUGUAGUAUGCUAACGGUAACAUCUCCAGUCCCUUGUUGUCUGGAGCUUGUGAGUUUGCAAAUGUUGCUAGGGGAAAACAGGGUUCUGGAAGUGAUCCCUAAUACAUGACAACCAGCAGGAAGCAUGUGAGUGCUUGGUGGGAUGAUAUUAGCAGCAGACCGUCCUAGCAGAAGGUUCUCCAGCUCUAUGCUCCUCAUUUCUAAGAAUUGAAAAUGAUGCAAUCUGGGGAUGGGGUCUUUUUAAUGAUGUAUGCUUUGUUGUUUAGCAGUUUGGUUUGGUUUGGGGUCUGGUCUUUGACUGUUUUAAGAGGCCAACUAGUUAUCCUGUGUUAGUUAUACUUACAAUAAAAUGUUGGUAGGGUUAGGGGGUUACAAUUAUCGUUUUGUUUGCCUAUGUUUGAUAUUAUGAAUAAAGAUGAAGAAAUCAUGGAGAUAUCAAAGAGAACCAAGUGCACAAUUGAAUGUGCUUCAAAGGCAAAUUUUUUCUUUUAUUUUCUAUGGUUUUAUUACUUAUUGAUUUUCUUUUUGUUGGUUUAAAUCUUCGAAAUAAUUGUCCAAAAGGUUUUGGUAGUGUUGGCAUUGGCAUCAAUAAAAGUUUGAGCUUACUAUGAGUAUAAUUUGAACCCAAAUGUGGUAGUGUUGGCAUUGGCAUUAUUUUAAAUUGUAUAAAUUCAUAUAAGAAAAUUUAUUAUCAAAAAUUUUAUGAAAUUUUAUAUUAUUAUUAAAUUAUAUGUAAUAAUUAUUAUUUUAAAUUAUACAAAUUCAUAAAAUAUAAUUUAUUAGUUAUAAUUAUUUUAAAUUUUAUUAAAUCAUAUAUUUAAAUUAAAAUAUAUUUAAUAUUAAUUAUUUAAAAUUUUAUUUUAUAGUAUCAUAUAUUAUGAUUUGAGUAAAUUCAUAUAAGAAUUAAUUAUUAAGAAUUUUAUUAAAUUAUAUUUUAAUUAUAUAUUUAAUAAUAAUUAUGUUAUUUUAUAUUUUACAGUAUCAUAUAUUAUGGUUUGAGUAAAUUCAUAAGAAUAUUAAUUAUUAAGAAUUUUAUUAAAUAUAUAUUUUAAUUAAAAUAUAUUUAAUAAUAAUUAUGUUUAAAUAUGAUUAAAUUAUUAUUAUUGAUAUUAAUAAUCUUAUAAAAUUUAAAUAAAUAAUUUACCAAAACAAAUUUCUGCUAAUUAAGAAUUUUAUUAAAUUAUAUUUAAUUAAUAUAUUAAAUAAUAAUUAUGUUUAAAUAUGAUUAAAUUAUUUAUUUUUGAUAAAUAAUCAUUAAAAUUUAAAUAACAAUAACAAUAAUCAUUUACCAAAACAAAUUUAUGCUAAGGGUAUUCUGGUCAUUUUAGUUUUCUCCAUUAUGCUAUUACACCUCUAUUACAUUCAACCAAACACAGUUUUACUAUUACGCCUCUAUUCCAUUACAUUCAACCAAAUAGUUGAUUUGCUAUUACACCUCUAUUCCAUUACACCUCUAAUCUAAUACACCUCUAAUCCAAUACAGCGAACCAAACGUGCUCAGUGUACAUGAUGUUUCGGGUCUUUUCGGAGGAACAUGAACCAUGAAGCGGCUUCCAUGUUCGUCAGCCUUUCACAAGUUGUUUUUAUUUAUUUGUAUGUGGAAAACUAAGUUUGCAAAUCAUCUAAAUAUAUGUGUAUUAAUUACUAUUUGGUUAUCUAAAUUUGUAUGAAAAAAGUGACUGGAAUUGGCCUUCUAAAUGUUUUUGGUUGUAAAAAACCCAAACCAAAUCCAAAUAUUUUGUACUGAUUUGAAUCUCUUAUUAGUUUACCUUUACAAUCAUAUUGCUUAAAACAUG